CAGUAGCCGCGGUAAUACGAAGGGGGCUAGCGUUGUUCGGAAUUACUGGGCGUAAAGCGCACGCAGGCGGCUCGAUAAAUUAGAAGUGAAAGCCUUGGGCUUAACCUGAGAAUUGCUUUUAAGACUGUCGAGCUAGAAUCCAGAAGAGGGUAGUGGAAUUCCGAGUGUAGAGGUGAAAUUCGUAGAUAUUCGGAAGAACACCAGUGGCGAAGGCGACUACCUGGUCUGGCAUUGACGCUCAUGUGCGAAAGCGUGGGGAGCAAACAGGAUUAGAUACCCCAGUAGUCCCUGUCUCUUAUAC
RNAcentral lists this ribosomal RNA (301 nucleotides) under uncultured bacterium. RNAcentral describes it as "partial 16S ribosomal RNA". It matches the Rfam family "Bacterial small subunit ribosomal RNA", at positions 509 to 807 of the family's 1533-position model. The record is from RNAcentral.